RNAcentral lists this ribosomal RNA (639 nucleotides) under uncultured bacterium. RNAcentral's name for it is "bacterial SSU rRNA". It matches the Rfam family "Bacterial small subunit ribosomal RNA", at positions 202 to 842 of the family's 1533-position model. The record is from RNAcentral.
AAAAACUGAGGUGGUAUACGAUGGUUCCGCGUCUGAUUAGCUAGUUGGUGGGGUAAAAGCCUACCAAGGCAACGAUCAGUAGCCGGCCUGAGAGGGUGAACGGCCACAUUGGGACUGAGACACGGCCCAAACUCCUACGGGAGGCAGCAGUGGGGAAUAUUGCACAAUGGGGGAAACCCUGAUGCAGCGACGCCGCGUGAGUGAAGAAGUAUUUCGGUAUGUAAAGCUCUAUCAGCAGGGAAGAAAUACUGACCAUAGGGUCAGCAGACGGUACUUGACUAAGAAGCCCCGGCUAACUACGUGCCAGCAGCCGCGGUAAUACGUAGGGGGCAAGCGUUAUCCGGAUUUACUGGGUGUAAAGGGAGCGUAGACGGCAGCGCAAGUCUGAAGUGAAAUGCCAGGGCUUAACCCUGGAACUGCUUUGGAAACUGUGCAGCUAGAGUGCAGGAGAGGUAAGUGGAAUUUCUAGUGUAGCGGUGAAAUGCGUAGAUAUUAGGAGGAACACCAGUGGCGAAGGCGGCUUACUGGGCUGUAACUGACGUUGAGGCUCGAAAGCGUGGGGAGCAAACAGGAUUAGAUACCCUGGUAGUCCACGCUGUAAACGAUGAUUACUAGGUGUUGGGGGACCAAGGUUCUUCG